This is a non-coding RNA of Pelobates cultripes (western spadefoot toad), 720 nucleotides long. The record is from the annotation of a GenBank genome assembly. NCBI's taxonomy places the organism in Eukaryota, Metazoa, Chordata, Amphibia, Anura, Pelobatidae.
CUUUAACUAGGUCUUAAAGGGACACUAUAAGCACCCAGACCACUUCAGCUCAUUGAAGUGGUCUGGGUGCAAACUCCCAGUUUUUCUAAACUGCAAUAAUUACCAUCCAGGGUUAACUCCACCUCUAGUGGCUGUCUACCAAACAGCCACUAGAGGGACUUCUGGGUUAAUAGGCGACUUUUCCUCCCCCGCCGGCUGAUGUCAGCAGGGGUGGAACUGGACCCAGGUAAGUGACCACAGAGGGGGCAGUAAGGGGGUGAGGGGCCUUGACAGAGGGUGUAGCUGUAGUGCCAGGAAAACUAGUGUUUUUUUCCAGUGCUUGGCCUCAAACUAAAGCUCAUUUGCUCUAUGUAUCCACUUCUUCCAUAGACGGUCCAAACAAUAGCGAUUAACAUUUAAAUUAUUUACCAAAUAAUUACCUUCACUAGGCUCGCUUUAAGAAAAAAGAUGAAUGGUUUGAUAGAUUAUGUGUGAUUGCUCUUCGAAUUCCUCUUCUAGAAAAAGCCUCCUAUUCCCAGAGCUUUGAUAAGAAAACAGAAACCGCUGUGGUGGCUUGAAAUCUGAGAAUCCACAAGAGUCCCUAUUUUAACAUGUUUAACUGGUGUAAUUCCCAGGUUUUACUAUUAACAUGACGUAAAGUCAUGAUUUUAAUAAAGACACGGAGGCGGGUAUUAUGCAUAACUCUUUCUUUAUUUCCUCAGCAGCAAAGAUAGAGGAAUA